This 196-nucleotide ribosomal RNA is filed under the name uncultured prokaryote. RNAcentral's name for it is "partial 16S ribosomal RNA". It matches the Rfam family "Bacterial small subunit ribosomal RNA", at positions 524 to 719 of the family's 1533-position model. The record is from RNAcentral.
GACGGAGGGUGCAAGCGUUGCUCGGAAUCAUUGGGCGUAAAGGGUGCGUAGGCGGCUUGGUCAGUCUGGCGUGAAAGCCCAGGGCUUAGCCUUGGAAGGGCGCUCGAAACUGCCAAGCUGGAGUGCCGGAGGGGAGAGUGGAAUUCCUGGUGUAGCGGUGAAAUGCGUAGAGAUCAGGAGGAAUACCGGUGGCGAA